AAAAACUUAAUUCCUGAAUUUCCGUGUCUAACGUUUGAUUGUUCGUCUUAUUUUAAAAAAUUAUAAAAAAAUUUAAAAAGUAAGCCAUGUAUAAAGUAUUAUUCAUGUUUUAUCAUUUAACAAUAAUGAAAAUACUAAUUAUACAAAAAUUUUAUAUAAGACGGACGGUCAAACAUCAGACACGGAAACCUA
This 192-nucleotide microRNA precursor is filed under the name Oryza nivara. RNAcentral describes it as "MIR812 microRNA precursor family". It matches the Rfam family "MIR812 microRNA precursor family". The record is from Rfam by way of RNAcentral. Lineage: Eukaryota; Viridiplantae; Streptophyta; Magnoliopsida; Poales; Poaceae.